This 253-nucleotide ribosomal RNA is filed under the name uncultured bacterium. Its description in RNAcentral is "partial 16S ribosomal RNA". It matches the Rfam family "Bacterial small subunit ribosomal RNA", at positions 524 to 776 of the family's 1533-position model. The record is from RNAcentral.
UACGGGGGGGGCAAGCGUUGUUCGGAAUUACUGGGCGUAAAGGGCUCGUAGGCGGCCAACUAAGUCAUACGUGAAAUCCCUCGGCUUAACCGGGGAACUGCGUCUGAUACUGGAUGGCUUGAGUUCGGGAGAGGGAUGCGGAAUUCCAGGUGUAGCGGUGAAAUGCGUAGAUAUCGGGAGGAACACCUAUGGCGAAGGCAGCUCGCUGGGACGGUACUGACGCUGAGACGCGAAAGCGUGGGGAGCAAACAGG